This 332-nucleotide ribosomal RNA is filed under the name uncultured bacterium. Its description in RNAcentral is "bacterial SSU rRNA". It matches the Rfam family "Bacterial small subunit ribosomal RNA", at positions 1041 to 1372 of the family's 1533-position model. The record is from RNAcentral.
CUGCAUGGCUGUCGUCAGCUCGUGUCGUGAGAUGUUGGGUUAAGUCCCGCAACGAGCGCAACCCUUCUCCUUGUUUGCCAGCGGGUUAAGCCGGGAACUUUAAGGAUACUGCCAGUGACAAACUGGAGGAAGGCGGGGACGACGUCAAGUCAUCAUGGCCCUUACGACCAGGGCUACACACGUGCUACAAUGGUAGGUACAGAGGGUUGCUACACAGCGAUGUGAUGCUAAUCUCAAAGAGCCUAUCGUAGUCCGGAUUGGAGUCUGCAACUCGACUCCAUGAAGUCGGAAUCGCUGGUAAUCGCAGAUCAGAAUGCUGCGGUGAAUACGUU